Molecule: unclassified non-coding RNA, 404 nt
Filed under: soil metagenome
Description: partial contains 5.8S ribosomal RNA, internal transcribed spacer 2, and large subunit ribosomal RNA
Rfam family: 5.8S ribosomal RNA (bases 1-122)
Source: RNAcentral
GAUGAAGAACGCAGCAAAAUGCGAUACUUGGUGUGAAUUGCAGAAUCCCGUGAACCAUCGAGUUUUUGAACGCAAGUUGCGCCCGAAGCCUUUUGGCCGAGGGCACGUCUGCCUGGGCGUCACGCAUCGCGUCGCCCCCCACAAUCCUCCGUAAAGGGAACGUGUGUUUUGGGGGCGGAUAUUGGUCUCCCGUGCUCAUGGCGUGGUUGGCCGAAAUAGGAGUCCUUUCGAUGGACGCACGAACUAGUGGUGGUCGUAAAAACCCUCGUCUUUUGUUUCGUGCUGUUGCUCGCAAGGUAAACUCUUUAAAAACCCCAAUGUGUCGUCUCUUGACGACGCUUCGACCGCGACCCCAGGUCAGGCGGGACUACCCGCUGAGUUUAAGCAUAUCAAUAAGCGGAGGA